AGUGAACGCUGGCGGUAGGCCUAACACAUGCCAGUCGAACGGCAGCACAGUAAGAGCUUGCUCUUACGGGUGGCGAGUGGCGGACGGGUGAGGAAUACAUCGGAAUCUACUUUUUCGUGGGGGAUAACGUAGGGAAACUCACGCUAAUACCGCAUACGACCUACGGGUGAAAGCAGGGGAUCUUUGGACCUUGCGCGAUUGAAUGAGCCGAUGUCGGAUUGGCUAGUUGGCGGGGUAAAGGCCCACCAAGGCGACGAUCCGUAGCUGGUCUGAGAGGAUGAUCGGCCACACUGGAACUGAGACACGGUCCAGACUCCUACGGGAGGCAGCAGUGGGGAAUAUUGGACAAUGGGCGCAAGCCUGAUCCAGCCAUACCGCGUGGGUGAAGAAGGCCUUCGGGUUGUAAAGCCCCUUUGUUGGGAAAGAAAAGCAGCAGGUUAAUACCCCGCUGUUCUGACGGUACCCAAAGAAUAAGCACCGGCUAACUUCGUG
RNAcentral lists this ribosomal RNA (492 nucleotides) under uncultured bacterium. Its description in RNAcentral is "partial 16S ribosomal RNA". It matches the Rfam family "Bacterial small subunit ribosomal RNA", at positions 29 to 507 of the family's 1533-position model. The record is from RNAcentral.